This 884-nucleotide ribosomal RNA is filed under the name uncultured Sporidiobolales. RNAcentral describes it as "SSU rRNA". It matches the Rfam family "Eukaryotic small subunit ribosomal RNA", at positions 561 to 1472 of the family's 1831-position model. The record is from RNAcentral. Lineage: Eukaryota; Fungi; Basidiomycota; Microbotryomycetes; Sporidiobolales.
CUGUGCCAAGCAGCCGCGGUAAUUCCAGCUCCAAUAGCGUAUAUUAAAGUUGUUGCCGUUAAAAAGCUCGUAGUCGAACUUCGGCGCCUGAUGGCCGGUCCGCCUUCUUGGUGUGUACUUGCUCAUCGGGCGCUUACCUCCUGGUGAACUCUGAUGUCCUUUACUGGGUGUCAGAGCAAACCAGGACGUUUACUUUGAAAAAAUUAGAGUGUUCAAAGCAGGCCUACGCCCGAAUACAUCAGCAUGGAAUAAUAGAAUAGGACGCGCGUUCCCAUUUUGUUGGUUUCUGAGAUCGCCGUAAUGAUUAAUAGGGAUAGUUGGGGGCAUUUGUAUUCCGUCGUCAGAGGUGAAAUUCUUGGAUUGCCGGAAGACAAACUACUGCGAAAGCAUUUGCCAAGGAUGUUUUCAUUGAUCAAGAACGAAGGAAGGGGGAUCGAAAACGAUCAGAUACCGUUGUAGUCUCUUCUGUAAACUAUGCCAAUUGGGGAUUAGCACAGGAUUUUCAAUGACUGUGUUAGCACCCGAAGAGAAAUCUUUAAAUGAGGUUCGGGGGGGAGUAUGGUCGCAAGGCUGAAACUUAAAGGAAUUGACGGAAGGGCACCACCAGGUGUGGAGCCUGCGGCUUAAUUUGACUCAACACGGGGAAACUCACCAGGUCCAGACACAAUAAGGAUUGACAGAUUGAUAGCUCUUUCUUGAUCUUGUGGUUGGUGGUGCAUGGCCGUUCUUAGUUGGUGGAGUGAUUUGUCUGGUUAAUUCCGAUAACGAACGAGACCUUAACCUGCUAAAUAGACCAGUCGACUUUGGUUGACUGCUGUCUUCUUAGAGGGACUAUCAGCGUUUAGCUGAUGGAAGUUUGAGGCAAUAACAGGUCUGUGAUGCCC